Callorhinchus milii (elephant shark) is the source of this 798-nucleotide long non-coding RNA. RefSeq lists it as uncharacterized. Lineage: Eukaryota; Metazoa; Chordata; Chondrichthyes; Chimaeriformes; Callorhinchidae. The transcript is spliced from 10 exons. The record is from RefSeq and is a predicted model, not a curated record.
GUUGCUGGGAGCCUGCGCGCGGUCCUCUCUUUCUCUCUCUCUCUCUGGAAGACGCCAACGGUCAGGACGGCGGUGAUGUCUCUCUCUCGGUUCCUCUACGACCGCAGCCUCUGCCUGGGACACGGGGCAAACGUUCAUCUUUGGAGAUCUGGAUGCAGGUGAAGUCCCAUGAAAGGUGUUUGAUCUUGAAGCAUUGUGCCCUGGGCUCCCUAAAUGUAAAGCAUUCAUCUUUGGCGACACGGAUUCAAGUGAGGCUCGGUGAAAGGUAAAGCUUUCAUCUUUGGCAGCGUGGAUGCAAGUGAAGAUUGGUGAAAGGUGAUUUAUUUUGCUAUUGUAAAGCUUCCAUCUUCGGCAACAUGGAUGCAAGGGAAGUUGGUGAAAGCUGAAAACUGCCAUGGAAGCAAUAAAUUCCUUCGAUUGGUCUUAUGAAUAUGCUGAAAACUGAUAUGGAAGCAAUAUAUUCGUUGGAUUAGCCUUAAAGAUAUGUGAUCAUACAGGGAAACCUGGGUUGUCUCAAAAGGGAAUGUUGGCAGUGAUUGGAGCAGAAAUCUUCAAAUGGAUGUCUCAGGUUGAUCUAAUCAUGAAGACAUUUAGGAAUGCUGUAUGACAACAGCAGCAGCAAGGACUGCAUCCGGAGUGAAGUACAGAGAAUGAUAUGGAAACUAACUAUGGUGAUCGAAUGCCUUACAUCAGGUGGCUGUUAGGAUGGAAAAUCUGGGAUGGACACAGCAGAUUCUCUUUGUAAAACCAUUAGUUAAUGGUGUCUGGAUACUAUUAAAUAAAAAUUCUUAAAAAAAA